This 301-nucleotide ribosomal RNA is filed under the name uncultured bacterium. RNAcentral describes it as "partial 16S ribosomal RNA". It matches the Rfam family "Bacterial small subunit ribosomal RNA", at positions 509 to 808 of the family's 1533-position model. The record is from RNAcentral.
CAGUAGCCGCGGUAAUACGGAGGGAGCUAGCGUUGUUCGGAAUUACUGGGCGUAAAGCGCGCGUAGGCGGCUUUGUAAGUCAGAGGUGAAAGCCUGGAGCUCAACUCCAGAACUGCCUUUGAGACUGCAUCGCUUGAAUCCGGGAGAGGUGAGUGGAAUUCCGAGUGUAGAGGUGAAAUUCGUAGAUAUUCGGAAGAACACCAGUGGCGAAGGCGGCUCACUGGACCGGUAUUGACGCUGAGGUGCGAAAGCGUGGGGAGCAAACAGGAUUAGAACCCCAGUAGUCCCUGUCUCUUAUACC